AGAGUUUGAUCCUGGCUCAGGAUGAACGCUGGCGGCGUGCUUAACACAUGCAAGUCGAACGGGAAACUUUUCUUUGAACCUUCCGCAUAUUUGGGCUGUUUCGAGGGGCGGACGGGUGACUACCGCGCCGGGUAACCUGGCCUUAUACAGGGAGGAUAACAACCAGAAAUGGUAGCUAAUACACGCAUAGACCGCACAGGACUCGCAUGGUCCGGUGUGAAAAACUCCGGUGGGAUAAUUAUGGACCCAUCGUUGGAUUAGCUGGUUGGCAGGGUCACGGCCGACAAAAGCCACGAUCCAUAGCCGGCCUGAGAGGGUGAACGGCCACAUUGGGACUGAGACACGCCCCAGACUCUUACGGGAGGCAGCAGUGGGGAAUAUUGCACAAUGGGCGAAAGCCGGAUGCAGUAACGCCGUGUGAGCGAUGAAGGCAUUGGGGUAAGUAAAGCUCUGUCCUCAAGGAAGAUAAUGACGGUACAUGAGGAGGAAGCCCCGGCUAACUACGUGCCAGCACCCGCGGUAAUACGUAGGGGGCUAGCGUUAUCUCGGAUUUACUGGGCGUAAAGGGUGCGUAGGUGGUUUGUUAAGUCAGGAGAGAAAGGGUACGGCUCACACCGUAGUAAGCUCUUGAAACUGGGAAACUUGAGUGCAGGAGAGGAAAGUGGAAUUCUUAGUGUAGCGGUGAAAUGCGUAGAUAUUAGGAGGAACACCAGUAGGGAAGGGGGCUCUGUGGACUGUAAAUGACACCGAGGCACCAAAGAGUGGGGAGCAACCAAGAAUAGAUACCCUGGUAGUCCACUCGGUAAACCGAUGAGUACUAGGUGUCGGGGGUUACCCCCCUUGGUUCCGCAGCUCACGCAUUACGUACUCUUCUUGGGGAGUACGCUCGCCAGACUGAAACUCAAAUGAAUUGACGGGGACCCGCACAACUCGCGGAGCAUGUGUGUUUAAUUUGAAGCAACGCGAAGAACCUUACCUUAGCUUGACAUCGUCAUGCCCGAUGCAUAUUUGCAUCUUUCCCUUCGGGGACCGAAGUGACAGGUGGUGCAUGGUUGUCGUCAGCUCGUGUCGUGAGAUGUUGGGUUAAGUCCCGCAACGAGCGCAACCCUUGCCUUUAGUUUCCAGCAUUAAGUUGGGCACUCUAGUGGGACUGCCAGGGAUAACCUGGAGGAAGGUGGGGAUGACGUCAAAUCAUCAUGCCCCUUAUGCUUAGGGCUACACACGUGCUACAAUGGGUGGUACAGAGGGCAGCCAACUCGUGAGGCCGAGCUAAUCCCUUAAAGCCAUUCUCAGUUCGGAUUGUAGUCUGAAACUCGCCUACAUGAAGCUGGAGUUACUAGUAAUCGCAGAUCAGAAUGUUGCGGUGAAUGCGUUCCCGGGUCUUGCACACACCGCCCGUCA
RNAcentral lists this ribosomal RNA (1401 nucleotides) under uncultured bacterium. RNAcentral's name for it is "16S ribosomal RNA". It matches the Rfam family "Bacterial small subunit ribosomal RNA". The record is from RNAcentral.